CAAAGACUGUAUUGGAUGAAUGACGAUGGUGAUAUAAGAUCUGUUAAUGUGGAUGGUUCUGAAGUUAAAACAAUCAUUUCAACAGGUUAUCGUACAAGCCAUUUUGCUAUAGGUGUAUUCCGUAGUUACAUUUACUAUGCUGAAAAUAACAAUAAGUUCGUUAUGAGGAAUAAAUCACAAGGAUCCACACCAACUAUUCUAUAUACAGACACCAGCACCAUUACAAGCAUAUAUGUGUUUAAUUCAACAGGUAUGUAUAUAACCUUGACAUAAGACCGAAGUUGUCGAAUGCAUGCCUUAAGAGUGGUCACUUAUUAAUUAUACUAUACUUGACAAAGUAACAUAUCAAAAAGGAAAAUAGAUUCAAUAGACGGUAACAGAAGAAAUACAUGAAAAACAGAGAAAGAACAAGUAUACACAACAAUAAAAAAAACAUCGAUCACAAUGAACCGCACAAAAUGAACAAGGGAGAACGAAUGAUUAUAUGUUUUAAUGUACUUGAAUAACCUUGAACAUAGGCAAAAUGAUGUUGUUAUAUAAUGAUAGAAAGGAAAAUCUUACUGACGCAAACCAUUCGAUAUUAAGAGUCGAAACACUCUUCCUGUAAACACAUAAGUUAUAAAUAUUAUGAAAUGAAGGAAUAUGACAGCCAC
RNAcentral lists this long non-coding RNA (653 nucleotides) under Mytilus galloprovincialis (Mediterranean mussel). The record is from RNAcentral. Lineage: Eukaryota; Metazoa; Mollusca; Bivalvia; Mytilida; Mytilidae.